RNAcentral lists this ribosomal RNA (496 nucleotides) under uncultured bacterium. RNAcentral describes it as "partial 16S ribosomal RNA". It matches the Rfam family "Bacterial small subunit ribosomal RNA", at positions 29 to 507 of the family's 1533-position model. The record is from RNAcentral.
AUGAACGCUGGCGGCGUGCCUAAUACAUGCAAGUCGAGCGAACAGACGAGGAGCUUGCUCCUCUGACGUUAGCGGCGGACGGGUGAGUAACACGUGGAUAACCUACCUAUAAGACUGGGAUAACUUCGGGAAACCGGAGCUAAUACCGGAUAAUAUAUUGAACCGCAUGGUUCAAUAGUGAAAGACGGUUUUGCUGUCACUUAUAGAUGGAUCCGCGCCGCAUUAGCUAGUUGGUAAGGUAACGGCUUACCAAGGCAACGAUGCGUAGCCGACCUGAGAGGGUGAUCGGCCACACUGGAACUGAGACACGGUCCAGACUCCUACGGGAGGCAGCAGUAGGGAAUCUUCCGCAAUGGGCGAAAGCCUGACGGAGCAACGCCGCGUGAGUGAUGAAGGUCUUCGGAUCGUAAGACUCUGUUAUUAGGGAAGAACAAAUGUGUAAGUAACUAUGCACGUCUUGACGGUACCUAAUCAGAAAGCCACGGCUAACUACGUG